Molecule: transfer RNA, 68 nt
Filed under: Marmota monax (woodchuck)
Lineage: Eukaryota; Metazoa; Chordata; Mammalia; Rodentia; Sciuridae
Description: tRNA.Ala
Source: RNAcentral
GGUUUAUGGCUCAGCAGUAGAGCGCUUGCCUGGCACAUGUAAGGCCCUGGGUUCAAUCCCCAGCACCA